UCCCGGCGUGCCGUUGGUCUGCACAGGCCGGAGGGCGCGGAGCCGGCUCGGGAACCGAUGGAAGCGGCCUCGCCGCUGCCCCCGGUCUAUGUCUGCAGCCCGGAGUACCUGGCGCUGUGCGACUCGCUCUGCAAAGUGCCUAAACGGGCCAGUAUGGUGCAUUCUUUGAUCAAAGCAUAUUCCUUACUUGACCACAUGAGGAUAGUCAAGCCCAAAGUGGCUUCCAUGGAGGAGAUGGCAAGCUUUCACACUGAUGCCUAUCUGCAGCACCUCCAGAAGGUCAGUGAGGAGGGGGACGAUGACCACCCAGAGUCCGUGGAGUAUGGACUGGGUUAUGACUGUCCAGCCACUGAAGGUAUCUUUGACUAUGCAGCAGCUGUAGGAGGGGCCAGCAUCACAGCAGCCCAGUGUCUGAUGGACGGCAAGUGCAAGGUAGCGAUUAACUGGCCUGGAGGGUGGCAUCAUGCAAAGAAAGAUGAAGCUUCUGGCUUUUGCUACCUAAACGACGCCGUCCUGGGCAUCCUGUGGCUGCGUCGGAAAUUCGACCGCAUCCUUUAUAUUGACUUGGACUUGCAUCAUGGGGAUGGUGUGGAAGAUGCCUUUAGUUUCACCUCCAAAGUCAUGACUGUGUCUCUGCAUAAGUUUUCACCAGGAUUUUUCCCAGGAACAGGAGAUGUGUCUGAUGUUGGCCUGGGGAAGGGGCGAUAUUACAGUGUCAACGUACCUAUCCAGGAUGGCAUUCGGGAUGAGAAAUAUUACCAGAUCUGCGAGACUGUGUUGAAGGAGGUGUACAUGACAUUCAACCCAGAAGCGGUAGUCCUGCAGCUGGGAGCAGAUACGAUAGCCGGGGACCCCAUGUGUUCAUUUAACAUGACUCCAGUGGGGAUUGGCAAGUGUCUGAAGUACGUUCUCCAGUGGCAGCUGGCUACUCUCAUCCUGGGAGGAGACAGGAGGCUACAACCUUGCCAACACAGCCCGCUGCUGGACAUACUUGACCGGGGUCAUCCUGGGGAGAAUGCUACCCUCCGAGAUCCCAGAUCACGAGUUUUUCACAAAGUAUGGUCCUGAUUACGUGCUGGAGAUCACACCGAGCUGCAGGCCAGACCGCAACGAGCCACACAAAGUCCAAGAAAUCCUCAGCAUCAUCAAAGGGAAUCUGAAGCAUGUGGUUUAGCUGAAAAGGAAAGCUCAUGUUUCCACAACAGUGGAGCGUUUCCUGUGCCAAAGACAGUGUGUUUAUGUGAGCAGCUUGCGGAAUUCGUGGCUGCAGGGGAAAUUUGGGAGAAUUGGGGUUUUUUUUGACGUUUCCAAGCAGCAGUGAGUGGCCCCAGUGCUGGGGGGUAGGGGAGCUCCCAAUUUCCACCCCCUUGUUCCAACAGAUUCCGGCUUAUUUUUUACAAAACUGCUUUUAUUCUUGCAGAUGUUUUUUCUAAUUAUUUUUUUUAAGGGAGGUGGUGGGUGAGGGCCACUCUGAGCCACAGACUCUCCACAGUCUGGCACCUGUGCCACUUGUACUGGGCCGCCCUCCUGGUGGGACCACAGGCUGUAGGUGUAGACGCUGUGACAUGAACUCCAGAGGGGAUACAUUGAGCGAUAGGCACAGGUCCUGUAAUCCUGGCUGCAGCCUUAUCUGUGGAGGGAGCCACA
Mauremys reevesii (Reeves's turtle) is the source of this 1647-nucleotide RNA transcript. It is a transcript of the gene named histone deacetylase 8, with no coding region annotated. The transcript has 11 exons. NCBI's taxonomy places the organism in Eukaryota, Metazoa, Chordata, Testudines, Geoemydidae. The record is from RefSeq and is a predicted model, not a curated record.